AGGCAUUGCUUAUUGCACCACAUGUGUUUUUCUUUGAAACAAACUUGCUUUGGCGGUGGGCCCAGCCUGCCGCCAGAGGUCUAAACUUACAACCAAUUUUUUAUUAACUUGUCACACCAGAUUAUUACUAAAUAGUCAAAACUUUCAACAACGGAUCUCUUGGUUCUCGCAUCGAUGAAGAACGCAGCGAAAUGCGAUACGUAAUAUGAAUUGCAGAUAUUCGUGAAUCAUCGAAUCUUUGAACGCACAUUGCGCCCUCUGGUAUUCCGGAGGGCAUGCCUGUUUGAGCGUCGUUUCUCCCUCAAACCGCUGGGUUUGGUGUUGAGCAAUACGACUUGGGUUUGCUUGAAAGACGGUAGUGGUAAGGCGGGAUCGCUUUGACAAUGGCUUAGGUCUAACCAAAAACAUUGCUUGCGGCGGUAACGUCUACCACGUAUAUCUUCAAACUUUGACCUCAAAUCAGGUAGGACUACCCGCUGAACUUAAGCAUAUCAAUAAGGCGGAGGAA
Molecule: ribosomal RNA, 508 nt
Filed under: Candida albicans
Lineage: Eukaryota; Fungi; Ascomycota; Pichiomycetes; Serinales; Debaryomycetaceae
Description: eukaryotic LSU rRNA
Rfam family: 5.8S ribosomal RNA (bases 140-293)
Source: RNAcentral